Molecule: ribosomal RNA, 414 nt
Filed under: uncultured bacterium
Lineage: Bacteria
Description: bacterial SSU rRNA
Rfam family: Bacterial small subunit ribosomal RNA
Source: RNAcentral
CGAGACCUUACCCAGACUUGACAUCCUUGGAAGGCAUCCGAAAGGAUACUGUGCCCUCGGGAACCAAGUGACAGGUGUUGCAUGGCCGUCGUCAGCUCGUGUCGUGAGAUGUUUGGUUAAGUCCAUCAACGAGCGCAACCCUUUUAGUUAGUUGUAUUUUUCUAGCUAGACUGCCCCGGUAACGGGGAGGAAGGAGGGGAUGAUGUCAGGUCAGUAUUACCCUUACGUCUGGGGCUACAAACACGCUACAAUGGCCGGUACAAAGGGCUGCCAACCCGCGAGGGGGAGCAAAUCUCAUCAAAGCCGGUCUCAGUUCGGAUAGCAGGCUGAAACUCGCCUGCUUGAAGUCGGAAUCGCUAGUAAUGGUAGGUCAGCACACUACCGUGAAUACGUUCCCGGGCCUUGUACACACCG